RNAcentral lists this ribosomal RNA (440 nucleotides) under uncultured bacterium. Its description in RNAcentral is "partial 16S ribosomal RNA". It matches the Rfam family "Bacterial small subunit ribosomal RNA", at positions 338 to 795 of the family's 1533-position model. The record is from RNAcentral.
CCUACGGGAGGCAGCAGUAGGGAAUAUUGCUCAAUGGGGGAAACUCUGAAGCAGCAACGCCGCGUGGAGGAUGAAGGUUUUCGGAGUGUAAACUUCUUUUUUUAGAGGAGUUAAUGACGGUAUGUGACGAAUUCUCACCGGCUAACACCGUGCCAGCAGCCGCGGUACUACGGAGGGUGCAAGCGUUACUCGGAAUUACUGGGCGUAAAGAGCGCGUAGGCGGGUUAGCAAGUCAGAUGUGAACUCCUUUGGCUUAACCAUAGAACUGCAUUUGAAACUGUUAUUCUAGAGUAUGGGAGAGGUAGGUGGAAUUCUUGGUGUAGCGGUGAAAUGCGUAGAGAUCAAGAGGAACACUGAUUGCGAAGGCGACCUGCUAGAACAUAACUGACGCUGAUGCGCGAAAGCGUGGGGAGCAAACAGGAUUAGAUACCCUGGUAGUC